Molecule: unclassified non-coding RNA, 379 nt
Filed under: plant metagenome
Description: partial contains 5.8S ribosomal RNA, internal transcribed spacer 2, and large subunit ribosomal RNA
Rfam family: 5.8S ribosomal RNA (bases 1-106)
Source: RNAcentral
GAAAUGCGAUAAGUAAUGCGAAUUGCAGAAUUUCCGUGAGUCAUCGAAUCUUUGAACGCACCUUGCGCUCCUUGGUAUUCCUUGGAGCAUGCCUGUUUGAGUAUCAUGAAAUCUUCAAAGUAAAUCUUUUGUUAACUCAAUUGGUUUCUACUUUGGUAUUGGAGGUCUUUGCAGCUUCACACCUGCUCCUCUUUGUUCAUUAGCUGGAUCUCAGUGUUAUGCUUGGUUCCACUCGGCGUGAUAAGUUAUCUAUCGCUGAGGACACUGUAAAAGGUGGCCAAGGUAAAUGCAGAUGAACCGAUUCUAAUAGUCCAUUGACUUGGACAAUACUUUUAUGAUCUGAUCUCAAAUCAGGUAGGACUACCCGCUGAACUUAAGC